This 457-nucleotide ribosomal RNA is filed under the name uncultured Oceanospirillaceae bacterium. RNAcentral's name for it is "bacterial SSU rRNA". It matches the Rfam family "Bacterial small subunit ribosomal RNA", at positions 346 to 795 of the family's 1533-position model. Lineage: Bacteria; Pseudomonadati; Pseudomonadota; Gammaproteobacteria; Oceanospirillales; Oceanospirillaceae. The record is from RNAcentral.
GGGCUGCAGUGGGGAAUAUUGCACAAUGGGCGAAAGCCUGAUGCAGCCAUGCCGCGUGUGUGAAGAAGGCCUUAGGGUUGUAAAGCACUUUCAGUAGGGAGGAAAGGUUGCGUGUUAAUAGCACGUAGCUGUGACGUUACCUACAGAAGAAGGACCGGCUAACUCCGUGCCAGCAGCCGCGGUAAUACGGAGGGUCCGAGCGUUAAUCGGAAUUACUGGGCGUAAAGCGUACGUAGGUGGUUUGUUAAGUUGGAUGUGAAAGCCCAGGGCUCAACCUUGGAACUGCAUUCAAAACUGGCGAACUAGAGUAUGGUAGAGGUGAGUGGAAUUCCCUGUGUAGCGGUGAAAUGCGUAGAGAUGGGGAGGAACAUCAGUGGCGAAGGCGACUCACUGGACCAAUACUGACACUGAGGUACGAAAGCGUGGGUAGCAAACAGGAUUAGAUACCCCGGUAGUC